GUGGGGAAUAUUGGACAAUGGGCGAAAGCCUGAUCCAGCCAUGCCGCGUGUGUGAAGAAGGUCUUCGGAUUGUAAAGCACUUUAAGUUGGGAGGAAGGGCAGUAAGUUAAUACCUUGCUGUUUUGACGUUACCAACAGAAUAAGCACCGGCUAACUUCGUGCCAGCAGCCGCGGUAAUACGAAGGGUGCAAGCGUUAAUCGGAAUUACUGGGCGUAAAGCGCGCGUAGGGGGUUCAGCAACUUGAAGGUGAAAUCCCCGGGCUCAACCUGGGAGCUGCCUCCAAAACUACUGAGCUAGAGUACGGUAGAGGGUAGUGGAAUUUCCUGUGUAGCGGUGAAAUGCGUAGAUAUAGGAAGGAACACCAGUGGCGAAGGCGACUACCUGGACUGAUACUGACACUGAGGUGCGAAAGCGUGGGGAGCAAACAGGAUUAGAAACCCUGGUAGUCC
This 450-nucleotide ribosomal RNA is filed under the name uncultured bacterium. RNAcentral's name for it is "bacterial SSU rRNA". It matches the Rfam family "Bacterial small subunit ribosomal RNA", at positions 354 to 796 of the family's 1533-position model. The record is from RNAcentral.